UACGUAGGGGGCGAGCGUUGUCCGGAGUUACUGGGCGUAAAGCGCACGUAGGCGGCUUUUUAAGUCAGAGGUGAAAUCCUGGAGCUCAACUCCAGAACUGCCUUUGAUACUGGAGAGCUUGAGUCCGGGAGAGGUGAGUGGAGCUGCGAGUGUAGAGGUGAAAUUCGUAGAUAUUCGCAAGAACACCAGUGGCGAAGGCGGCUCACUGGCCCGGUACUGACGCUGAGGUGCGAAAGCGUGGGGAGCGAACGGG
RNAcentral lists this ribosomal RNA (253 nucleotides) under uncultured bacterium. RNAcentral describes it as "partial 16S ribosomal RNA". It matches the Rfam family "Bacterial small subunit ribosomal RNA", at positions 524 to 776 of the family's 1533-position model. The record is from RNAcentral.